AUACGGAGGAUGCGAGCGUUAUCCGGAUUUAUUGGGUUUAAAGGGAGCGUAGGUGGGAUAUUAAGUCAGCUGUGAAAGUUUGGGGCUCAACCUUAAAAUUGCAGUUGGUACUGGUUUCCUUGAGUACGGUACAGGUGGGCGGAAUUCGUGGUGUAGCGGUGAAAUGCUUAGAUAUCACGAAGAACUCCGAUCGCGAAGGCAGCUCACCGGGCCGGAACUGACACUGAUGCUCGAAAGUGCGGGUAUCAAACAGGAUUAGAUACCCUGGUAGUCCGCACAGUAAACGAUGAAUACUCGCUGUUUGCGAUACACUGUAAGCGGCCAAGCGAAAGCGUUAAGUAUUCCACCUGGGGAGUACGCCGGCAACGGUGAAACUUAAAGGAAUUGGCGGGG
This 393-nucleotide ribosomal RNA is filed under the name uncultured bacterium. RNAcentral describes it as "partial 16S ribosomal RNA". It matches the Rfam family "Bacterial small subunit ribosomal RNA", at positions 523 to 918 of the family's 1533-position model. The record is from RNAcentral.